UAUGCUGAGCACUAUCUAGUUUCCAAAAAUCAGCUUUUGUUCACUGGUGGCAUGAAAGAUGUCAUCUUAGAGCCAGCAUCCAGUCAGUGUUACAAACUGCAACAAUCACCUUGCUGUCUCACUUGGAGAACAGAGGAUGGGUGGUCAACACAAAGUCCAGGGGCCAGGCUUAUCAAUCAAAUACCUGGGUGUCAUCUUGUUGGAUGGUGUGCAGCAAACCUCUUUGCCGACUGGGUGCAGAUGGUGGCAUCUCUCCAGAAAAAAUCCAGACUGUUGGGUGUGCGAAGAGCUGUCCUCUCCACCGCAGGCCUGCCACUGAGCAUUCUCUUCUUCAGUCUCUUGAACUUGGUGCCAUCCUUACUGAAGACAACAGGGAUGCAGCAUGUCUCUUGGAAGUUAUGUGAGGAUCUGGUCUCACACCUUACCCCGAGAGAGCCCUGAAGGGCCCAGGAUGUCCACAAAGAAGCUGAGGGGGCUGGACAUGCACCUGGCAGAGGCCUCCACAGCCCCUGUGAAGCCUGCUGUGGACUCACUUCAAUCAAGCAUCCUCACCACCUUCUCCAAUUUUCAUCACCUCCCUUGAAAGAAACACAGUUUAUUACUCUCAUAGCAGCCUUCACGGUGUAUGAGCUGGAAACAGACCGUGCAAGACUCUCUAGGGUGUAAACAGUCUAUUCUUGUGCUUCUCUGAGUAUUUGGAGGAAAAGAACCAGAUUUGGAGGAGGUUGGUUGGUUUCUUGUUUGGUUUUGUUUUUCCUAAUCUAUUGUAGACCAACACUAUUAAAAACUACAAAAUAAAUGAAUUGC
RNAcentral lists this long non-coding RNA (807 nucleotides) under Homo sapiens (human). The record is from RNAcentral. Lineage: Eukaryota; Metazoa; Chordata; Mammalia; Primates; Hominidae.